Molecule: long non-coding RNA, 39763 nt
Filed under: Populus tremula
Lineage: Eukaryota; Viridiplantae; Streptophyta; Magnoliopsida; Malpighiales; Salicaceae
Description: long non-coding RNA (PTRE_LNC000769)
Source: RNAcentral
ACAGACAUACUUGGAACUAUUUUGAAAUAUCACUUACCUGCCUAAUUGUUUCUGUUUUUCUCAUUUGUCCUUGAUGUCUUUUCUUUUAAUUUUAUCUCUGCCUUUUACAUUUAUAUUAUUUUACACUUAAAAUCAUAGUUUUUAGACCUGACCCGGUCCAAGAUUUAGGUUUAAGAUUUUGAUUGGGUCACUGAGUUAUCAAGGUCAUUUAUUUUUAAAUCAAAACGACAUUGUUCUAAUAAAAAAAAAUAAAAAUCAACGAGUUGCAACCGGGUUUUUGGCCGGAUCACACCGGGUUUUUUUUUUUUUUUUUCAAUCCGACCCGGUUCCAAUCCCAGGUCGACUCGUCAAGCCAGGUUUCAAAAGAAUGCUUAAAAUCUUUAAUUAUUAGUUUUAUUUUGAAUUAUUUGAAUUUUUUAAUUUGAAAUCAUAACGUUGUUUAAAUGUUCUUAUUAGACAAUUAGUCGAAAUAGAUUUAUACUUUAUUUUUGUUUCAUCAAAGAUGUAGUAUUUUUAUAUCUUUCGAACUUCAAGUUAUUGGUUGAAAUAUGUAGAGAAUAUGCCACGAGACCACUUUUAAAAUAAUUUAUUAUAAUCAAAUAAAGUAGUGUAAUCACUCAAAUUUCUUUGUGAAUUUGAAAUGAAAAAAUAUUGAUAAUAGUAAGAAUUAGAUAACUAAUUUUUUUAUGAAAGACAAGAAUUUUAUUAACUAAAUAAUUUAGCUAUGAAGAGCAUGAUUAAACAAGGGAAAAGGAAUAUCAAGAAAUAAAUACAAAUUAAAUAUCUAGUUACAUCCUCUUAGCAGAAAAAUCUUGAAAUUUGUGAAUUAUUUUACACCAGCCAAACAAAACCUUAAUCUCUUAUCCCCUGCAUUUUUUUUUCAUCUUCUACAUCUGCUCUUUGUCACCAUGGAACGUGUUAGCUUGACAUCUUCGAAAAGGAGGUCUUUUCCACCAAAAACGAAGCCAUGGCCUAUCCCACCUUCUUUAACACUUUUAUUGAAUAAAGUAAUAAAACGUAAUAAUUUUUUUUUUUAUGACUCUAAAUGUCCGGGCCAGCUUGCGCGCACCACAACUAAUCCUAGGGCCUACUGAACAUCCUGUAAACCCAGUAGGCAGGUAAGGCACCGCGGGGGUGACAGGCUGGUACUCUUGAAGUUCGAACCCAGGACGUUCGCAAAGACAAGCCUUGUAAUUGACCAAUGGGCUAGACCCUCAAGUGUAAUAAAAAACUAAAAUUAAUUGAAAGUCAAACUUAAAAAUAAAAACUAAAAUGAAAUUGAAUUGAAUUAAUUGAAAGUCAACAAAAAUUAUUGGUAUCAGCAUAUAUUACGCCAGAGGUUGCUCUUUGCUAUGGGUUAGAUCAAAAUCAAAUGAAUGCAUUGACAAAAAUGUGCUAUGGGUUAGAUAAAAAGAAAUGUCAACUUUUUAUUUUUUUUGCAUGUGAUAAAAUAUUUAAAACGUGGAUUAAAAACUUGACUAGUACAUCAAAUAAAGUUAAUUGACUAUCAUUUAUGUUAAUAAAAAAAUAAAAAUUUGAUGUCACUUAUUCAAUCUAACAUGCUAAGAGCGAAUUAAUCACCAUAUUUAAAUGGUGAUGUAGAGUGCGUUUGGUAUUGCGGUAGCUGUUAUGGUUGUGAUUUGAAAAAAAAUAUUUUAUAAAAAGUACUUUUAGUUAAGGUUGGUUUGAAAAAAUAGGUGUUUGGUUAAAACUGUGGUUGAAAUUGAGGUUAAAGAAAAAGUAGUUUAAUGUAUUUGGUUAAUAGUGUUUUUAAAAUUGAAAUUAUAAAAUAAUUUUAAAAAAUAUAUAUUAAUAUUGAUAUUUUUAAUUUAAAUAUUGUGGAUUUAACUAUUGCUAUUACAUCAUGAAAUAAAUCAUACUUAAUUUAAAUAUUUUUUAUUAUUCAAUGAAACCAUCUACAAUUCCAUCACGUACAAAAUAUAUCCGACAAGAACUACAGUUUCUAUAAUUUUUUUAGCGUGUAAUAAAAUUAGAUAAAAUAUUAUCAGGUAUAAAAUUCACUCUAGACUAAUUUUUUUAAAAAAAUUAACACACUAAAAAAAAAGAGAGAAAGUAGUUCAUGUAGUGCAAGUGAACAGUGCCAAUGUCCACUGUUCAUGUUAAUUGCAUUGUUCAUUGAUUGAACAAUGCAAUUAACAUGAACAGUGCAAAAAACGCAUGUGAAAGCAGCCUUUGGUUGCUUUUUCCAAUCCUGCGUUGCAAACACAGAAAAUAAUGGGGCUCAUUAACAGUAAUUAGUGGUUUUUUCUUUACCAAAUGCAAUUUUCACCACGUAAACAAACGGUCUUGUAGUUGGUAAAAACUUUAAUGUCAUUGUUAUUUUUAUUCGUACCUAAUACUAGCUCAAAUGUGAAAUACCAAAUUGUCAAAAGAUUAAAUCAUCAAAAAAUAUUAGGAGUGAAAUGAAAAAAUAAUGAUACAUUGUAUUGAUUCGUGCUAACUCGCGUAAUCAACAAUCAAGGUAAUGGUCACAAUCAUAAAUAAGUCAACCCACCUGGACAAUAAGCCUUUUUUUUUCUUUUUUUAUUCUCCUCUUAGUUGAGCCUAGAUUAGGUCUCAAACUUCGAUUUCAAUUAAAGAAUGGAGAUGAAGUUUAAAAAAUAAUUAAAUGUUGAAUAAUAAAAUUGAAAAGAAUUAGCUUAAAAAAAAUGCAAGCCCAAGCAAAUUUUUAUACCGGAGUUAAUCUUUUAAAUUCACAACCAGUGAAAUCCUAGACUCGAGUUGAAUUAAAAAUUUUAAUUCUCAAUCAAUUUAAUAUUGAAGGAUGAAAUUAUAAUAAAAAUAUUAAUUAAAACAAAUUGUCAAAGCAAAAGGGAUUACAACAAAAAGAAUAAGGAUCAAAUUGUAAAAAAAAAUAUGGAGGAUGAAAUUGUAAAAAAAUCUUUAAUUCUAAAAAUCAUCUAAAACAAAACAUAUAACAAUUAAAAUAAUGAGAAAAAAAUCUGACAGAUAAAAAAUGAAGUAUGAAAUUGAAAAAUAAAUAAAUGUGCAAUGAUAAAACUAAGAAAAUAUUAGCUUAAAAAGAGGAGGGGAAACAACGAAGUGAACUCGUGUGAAUAUCUUAAACCUAAAUUAAUUUCUUAAACUCGCACCUUGUAAAAUUUUAGAUGUGAGUUCAAUUAAGAAACUCAAUUCUCCGAUUGGAGAAUGAAAAAAAUUAAAAAUAAAUAAAUUACCAAAACAAAAAGGAAUUUCAAAAAAAAAAAAAAAGAUCAAGACACCUAGAAAAAAAAGGAUGAAAUUGUAAAAAAAAAUUCAACUCUAAAAAUUAUCUAAAAUAAUAUAAAUAACAAUCAAAAUGAAUAAGAACCAAAUUUGACAAAUAAAAAAAAUUAAAAGAUGACAAAACUAAAAAAAUUAAUUAUAUAAUUCAUUUUAAAAAAAAUAAUUAAAAUAAUAUAAAUGAAAUGUAAAAAAAUAAAUUGAAUAACUGAUUUAAAAUUAUAAAAUGCCACCCCGUAGAAACCAAGUUGGAGAGAGAGAAAUUAAAUAGGUGUUGCACUUAAUUUUGAUCCAACAAAUUGUUGGUUUGACCACCCAAUGCUUAGUGAUCCUUCUUUGGGAUUGUACUUAAUUUUGUACUAUUAGCUUAUUAGGUCUACAUUUACUCAUUUUUAAUUUUUUAGGGCUCCUGAGCUCCCAUUUCAAAAAAAAUAAAUUAAGAACUUUUUUUUUAUCAACUAAGAAAAUGCAUGUUAUGCAGAAAGAAAUAUUAAUUUAUUAGGCUAGUACAAAAUAUCUCUUUAUUUGAUAUUAUGAUAAGUAAUUGAGCUGUUUGGAAAUGUGGUUGCAAUUGUUUUUUAAAGUAUUUUUAUAUCAAAAUGCAUCAAAAUAAUGUUUUUUAUUUUUAAAUAUUUAUUUUUGAGAUCAGCGCAUUAAAAUAAUAAAAAAAAUAUACAAAAAAAUUAAUUUUUAUCAAAAAAAAUUAAAUUUUAGUGGAACGUGAUUUGCACCACAUUCUGAAACGUUAUUUUUGUUUAGUUAUUGAAUAUCGUGUAUUGUCAAUAAAAAAGAAAAGAACAUUGCACCAUGAUUUAUAAUAAAUGAUAAUCGUUUAUUUUCUUAAGAAAGUAACGGCAUACAAGAUCCAAAUAGAUUUCCUAAAAAAUGCAUGUUAUAUAGAAAGAAAUCUCCAUUGAUUAGGAAGUAAAGAGUAUAUUUUUUGUUUAGUUAUUGAAUAUCGUGUAUUGUCAAUAAAAAAAAAAAGAACAUUGCACCAUGAUUUAUAAUAAAUGAUAAUCGUUUAUUUUCUUAAGAAAGUAACGGCAUACAAGAUCCAAAUAGAUUUCCUAAAAAAUGCAUGUUAUAUAGAAAGAAAUCUCCAUUGAUUAGGAAGUAAAGAGUAUAUUUUUUAUUUGAUAUUAUGAGAAGUUUUUAUCUAAAUAUUGAAUAACACGUGUUGCCAAUAAAAAUAAAUAAAGAAUAUGACUCCAUAAUUUAUAAGAAGUAAAAAUUGUUUAUAUACGUUUUUUUUAGAGUAACUAUACAGGAUCCAAAUAGAUCAUUAAAAAAUGCAUGUCAUGUAGAAAGAAAUCUCCAUUGAUUAGGAGAGUAAAGAAUAUAUAUUCUGUAAUAAAGAAUAUUGCUCCAUAAUUUAUUAUUGAUUUUGUUUUUGUGGCAGUAUAUAAAUUACAGUCUCUUCCGUGAUCUCUACAACUCAAUUUGCUUUUUAAUUAUGGCACUAAUCCGUGAAAUAUUAUUUGUUCUUUUCCUCGGGUUGUUUCUGAGUGGCAUCACCGCUGCACAAAGGGAAGCAACGCUGCCCAUCACUCAAAAAGGGGCCGGUAUCUUCCCCACAAGAGCGAUAGUUCCACCGUCGGCGCCAGGCAAGCAGCAUAAUUCCGUUCCGAGGCUGCGUUCUAUUCCAGCAACAAAAGCAUAGUGGAUGUGUUAUGUGUGCGAAGACGAAUAAUUAGCAGACCCCCACUUUUAUAUGUGCGUUGAUUUCAUAAUUUCCUUUUGUUUUGAAUAAAGAAGUGCGGGUAUUGCAUAUUUUGUUAUUUGAUAUUAUGUUAAGUCUCUCUCUAAAUAUUAAAUAACAAGUAUUUUCAAUAAAUAAUAAAGAAUAUUACUCCAUAAUUUAUAGCAAACAAUAAUCGUUUGUUUAAUUUCAAGAAAGUACCUACAUGCAAGAUCCAAAUAGAGCAAUUAUAAAAUGCAUGUUAUCAAGAAAGAAACUAGUUUUGUAGCUCAUACUAUAUUUCAGUUUGUAUUAAAAAAUCUCUGAAGGUAAAACAAAAUGUUAAGAUUUCAAAAACUUAUUUGAUAUUAUUAUUAAAUUUGAGUAAACCUUAAAUUCUCUUUACUUACUCUUUGCUUAGCUCUAGAUUAAAAUUAAUUUUGAAAGAGUUACUCUAAUAUAACUUAGUAGACUUGAUUUGUCUAAUAACUAAGGUUUGAUUUAGAAAACAAUUUACCAAACCUACAACCCAUAUUUAAUCGAUCCAAGUUUCGUAAUUUAAUUUACCAAACCUGCAACCCAUAUCAUAGACUCAACUAGUUUUAACAAUUUUACUUUUUAAACUACUAUUUUUUUUAUUUAAAGAUAUGAUAAUGAAAAUAGACGCUUGUAUAAUUGAGCACCAACCAAAUACUGGAAUGUUUGUUUGAGACUAUGAUAAUCUAAAACAAAAAAACAAAUCAAAAUAAAUUAUAAAAACCAAUUUAGAGUUAAUCAAAUAUUGAAGAAUGAAAUUGAUAAAAACAAAAAUCAAAUAAUAUUCAAUUAAAAGAAGAAAAAAUGGAAGAUGAAAUUUAAAAACAAGAAAUUAUUUUGAAUUGUUAUUGAAAUGGACCAACUAGGUAACUUUGAAAUUUCCUAACCAGACUUCUUAUUUAGUUUGGGUUUAAAGGCUUAACUUGUAAAACCCAUGACUUGAAUCAUGGGCUUCAUUGGGUUUAAAAAGUUUAUUUUUUUUAUUUAAUGAUAUAAUAAUAAAAAAAAACACUUGUAAAAAUUGAAUUUUAAUCAAAUAUUAAUAUAUUUGUUUGAGACUACGAUAAUCUCAUAUAAAAAAAAAUUAAAACAAAUUAUAAUGACCAAUUCAAAUUUAUUAAAAUAUUAAAUGAUGAAAUUAGAAGAAAAAAAUUAGAAAGAUAAAAUAAAAAAAAAUUAUUUAAAAAAAUGAGGUGCUUUACCAUAACAGUAAAUAACCAUAAUGUUUCCCAAUUCUUUCAGUAGAGAGAGUAAUCUCCAAUAUUGGGUAGGAAAGUAAAGAAUAUUUUGUUAUUUGAAUAUAAGUCUUUGUUUAAAUAUUGAAUAACAAGUAUUGUUGAUAAAAUGUCUUAAAAAUAAAAAAUAUUAACCAGUAAGUUAACAAUUCAAGAAGAUAAUGUAGUGUUAAUUUUUUUAUAUCAUAAAAUUUUAAUCUGCUUGUGUUAUAGAGAUUUAAAAAUAUGUAAUGUAAACAACAAUAAUUGGUAUUAUUUUAUUUCAUGAGAUCUUGUAUUUAUGAAAAGAUAUUUUAAAUAUCUUAUCCUAUGUGUCAAUUUUUUAUUGACAAAAAAAAAUAUAAAUUUUUAUUUAUUUAAAUUUUAUUUUACAUUUUCAUGAAAAAAACAAAAUAAAAAAUUACAUAUAAAAAACAAGAUAAUGUAGUUACUUUAGGUUGUUUUUGUUUCCUGAAAAGUGGUUUCCAGAAAAUUAUUUUUUAACUUUUCCUGUGUUUGUUUGUCAUUAGAAAAGUUGGUCAAUGAAAAACACUUUUCGAUCAACAAAAAACACUUUCCAGUCAAAGAAAAAUUUAGCUUGGUUUUCAGGAAAGUGUUUUCCUUUUAUUUUGGGCGGAAAACACUUUUCGAAAGUUAUGAAAAUUUUAGAAAUAUCAUAUUAUUUGUUGAUUAUAUCAAAUUUUGUCCUCAAACUUUUGAUUGCUAUAUAUAUUUUGUUUUGAAUAUUGUUUUUUCAAUUUCAUCCUUUAGAAUUUAAUUUUUAUAUUAACUUUGGUCCUCAUUUUUAUAAUUGCUAUUUGAUUUUCCCUUAUCAUUUUUUAAUUAAAGUUUUUUAUCUAUCAAAUUUGAUUCUCAUUCUUUUGAUUGUUACUUAUUUUAUUUGAAAUAAUUUAUGAAAUGUUAAUUAUUAUGAUUUUAAUUUCUUCAUCUUUUUUUUUUUUUUAGAAUUGAUCUCUAUGAUUUUGAUUAUUAUUUAUUUUAUUUGAGAUAAUUUAUGAAAUUAUAUUUUUUUCUAUUUUAUUCUCAUUCAACUUUUGAAGUUGUAAGAUCUGAUCCUCGUUAUUUUAAUACAUUUGAGAAAAAUAAAAUAUUAAUAAGUUAUUUUUCAGCUUAUUUUUCAUGACAUAACCAAACACUGGAAAAUGUUUUCCAACUUAUUUUUCAUUACACUACCAAACAUCGAAAAAUACUUUCCUGAAAUUCACUUUCCAAAAGGAAACUACUUUCCAGCAAACAAACGAGGCCUUAAUAUAACUUAGUGGACUUGAUGGGUCUAAUAACUAAGGUUUGAUUUUAAAAACAAUUCAAGAUAACAUAUAUAUUGAGACGACGACAUAUUAGAUCAAUCAAAAUUUUGUAAUCUAAUUUACCAAACCCACAACCCAUUGGUCUUCAUAAUAUAAUUGAUUUGUUUGAGACUGUGAUAAACUAAAAAAAAGCAAAUCAAAACAAAUUAUGAAGAUCAAUUUAAAAUUAAUCAAAUAUUGAAGAAUAAAAUUGAUAAAACAAAAAAUCAAAUAGGAUUCAAUUAAAAGAAGAAAAAAAUGAAAGAUGAAAUUUAAAAACAAGAAAUUAUCUGGAAUUGUUAUUAAAAUGGACAAACUAGGUAACUUUGAAAUUUUAUAACCUGACUUCUUAUCUAGUUUGGAUUUAAAGGCUUAAUUCGUAAAACCCAUGACUUGAAUCUUGGGCUUCACUAGGUUUAAAAAGUUUAUUUUUUUUAUUUUUUUAUUUAAUGAUACGAUAAUAAAAAAAGACACUUGUAAAAAUUGAAUACUAAUCAAAUAUCAAGAUAUUUGUUUAAAAUUACGAUAACCUCAUAUAAAAAAAUUAAAAUAAAUUAUAAUGACCAAUUCAAAUUUAUUAAAAUAUUGACGGAUGAAAUUAGAAGAAAAAAAUUUGAAAGAUAGAAUUUAAAAAAAAGAAAAGAAAAAUUGUUUAGAAAAAUAAGGUGCUUUACCAGAACAGUAAAUAACAAUUUCCCAAUUCUUUCAAUAGAGAGAGUAAUCUCCAAUAUUGGGUAGGAAAGUAAAGAAUAUUUUGUUAUUUGAAUAAAAGUCUUUUUCUAAAUAUUGAAUUACAAGUAUUGUUGAUAAAAAAUAAAAAAUAUUAACCAGUAAGUUAACAAUUGAAGAAGAUAAUGUAGUGUUAAUUUUUUAAUAUCAUAAAAUUUCCUUAAUCUGCUUGUGUUAUAGAGAUUUAAAAAUAUGUAAUGUAAACUACAAUAAUUGAUAUUAUUUUAUUGGUUGAUCUUUAUUUUAUUUCAUGAGAUCUUGGAUUUAUGAAAAGAUAUUUUAAAUAUCUUAUCCUGCGUGUUAAUUUUUUAUUGUCAAAAAAUAUAUAAAUUUUUAUUUAUUUAUCAUAUUAUUUAUUUCAAUUUUAUUUUACAUUUUUAUGAAAAAUUACAUGUAAAAAAUAUUUGAUUGAUAAAUUUUUUAUAUUUCUACACUUGUGUUUACCGCCACCGUAGCUCCUAAUCUUCAUUGAAUUUGUUAGAUUUCAAUAUUGCUGAAAUAUAGCUAUCAUUGAAAAGAUGAGUAAUUAAGUCGAGAAAUGCUCUCUUAGGCUAGUCAAAGACAAUCCAAGGUAUAAUUUAGACCGUUUGAUUUUUUAAUUAAUUAUUUAUUUAUUUUCCCCAAAAAUCACUAUCUAGAUAAUUUAGACCGUUUGAUUUGAUAUCCUCCACCAGUAAAAUUCAAUCAUUCAAAGAAUUAGAAUGGGGGUGUUAGAGGUGUCUUUUGAAUAAUGAAGCAAGUGGUUUUGAAACGAUAACUAGAGUUUUGACCUCGUGUGAUGGUGAACUAAAAAGAAGUUGGAGUUUUUCUACAAUAGGGGCCAUUUUCAUGGUGGGAAAUUGAUGGCAUCCUUGAGGGCCAGGUGUUGUUUGUGGUUUUUGACCUAGUCAUUUUAGCCGGUGUCAAUAUCAAAACAAUUCAAGUUUUUGACUAAGGCAUUUGAGGCAAUUUUCUUUUCUAUUUUUAUGAAAUUCAAACUCUAAGCAAGCUGGUUUGAAUUUUAUAAUAGUGAUUUAUAGUAUAGUGUUUUAAGAAGAUGUAGAGUUUGUUUAGAAACCGUAUUCUCUUAAAUUUUAAUUUUUUAAAAAUUAAUUUAACUUAUAAUUUUAAAUCGUUUUAAUAUGUUGAUAAAAAAAAAUUAUUUUAAAACAAUAUAUAAAAGAUGAUGGAACCUUUUGUUUUUUGUUUUGUUUUUUGGUUUUUUAAAGGUUUGAAAGGCUUGACUGGCCAUGUAAAGAGCAGUUGAAUACGAGCAAAACUUUGUUCAUGAAUGCUCAUUUCCCUUGGCCGCCAGCUUGGAAGGGUUGUUGAAGCCUUGCCCCCGCCACACCACCACCCCCCCCCCCCCCCUAUUUAUUUUUUAUUAUUAUUAUCUUUUUGUUGUUUUUGGACAAUUUGGGAGAAGUCUUUUCCUCCUGCAAAUGAGAUUCAAGUAUUUAUUUUACAAGCAAAAAUCAAAAUGGUCACGUCAUUGAGGCAUCGAUCAUUAUUCUCAACCGAACAAGAUUGACUUUUACAAUCUUAGAAUUCAAGCAAUUUAAAUUUAUAAUAUCAAUAUUGUUUAAAACUAAGUAUCAAAAGGAACUGUUAUUAAUUAAAUUUCUCGAUGAAUUUGGAAUUAUUUCCUUUACUCGUAUUAGAUCAUAUUUUAUAGUAAUCGAAUAUCAAAUUAAUUAUAAUAUAAUACUUUUAAUCUUAAUUAGUUGUCUAAAUUAAAAUCUAGUGAAAAGUAUUAUUAAAAGGUUAAGUUUGUUAAGUAUCUUUUAAUUUUUCAAAUAUAGCAAAUGGUGUGUGUGUGUGUAAAAAUAUAAAUUGGGUAUUGUAUAACAUUUUAAACAAAAAACCCACAUGUAUGAUAAAAAGUAUAAAUGUAUUUAUGAAGAAGAAAAUAUGAAUCAAAUAUAACAUAUAGUAUAAAAGUAUAAUUACGUUAUAGAUUUUUAGGAAUAUAAUUCAGAUUUAACUUGUUGGUAUCAAGUUUUUUUUUUUAAAUCAAAUUCCUUAUUACCAUCUAACCUAUCUUUUGGAUUCAAACAAAUCAUAAUAAAACUUUAAUAAAUAUUUGAUUUGCAAUGUCGUAGCAUAGCAUAGUAUGAGAAUUUUAUAUUAUUUGUUUUUAUACAUAGCAAAAGUUUUUUUUAUAAAUAAUUAUGUUAUAUAAUGUUAUCAAACUCAUAUUGAUUGGCUUAGUAAGUUAAUUUGGUGAUUUGUUAUUUUAAUUUUUAAUUUAAAUUAAUUUUUUAAAUUAAAUCGACUAAGAAUUAAUUUAAUUGACAUGACAGAUGAACUCAUCACGUUUAGAACAUGGUUUAUAUUUUUCUUUAAAAAAAAUAUAAACAAUAUUUUAUCUAUCGGCAUCUCUGAUUCGGCACUAACUAAUAAUACAAAUGACCGAGACUAGCAGGACCAAGUGCGGACAGCAACCUUCUCUCAAUUUGUAUAUUGUCUUUCUUGCUAGCUUGUCGGCUUUAUAGCACUAGCAUUGAUUAAUAAUAUAUCCUUGAUUUAAAAAAAAAAAAAAACUUAUGCCCACCUGCACGUUUAAUUGGAUGAAAGUUUUCAAUUUCAAUAAUCAAGAUUUCGUUUAAUUUUAGGAGGAAAAAACAAUAUUGGUCCCAUUGUGGACUUAGUGGUUUGGUAUUUGAUUUUUUUUUUAUUCCAAGUUGGUGAAUGUCUACACGUAACUAAUUAUGAUAUAAUUCUAGGAGAUUUUUUUAUAAUUAUUUUUAAAAUUUAUUUUUAACUCAAUAAAAGAGCUUAUUUAAAUAUAGUCUUCUCAAGAGAUAAACUGUUAUAAAACUGACAUGCAAACUUUAUAAAAUAAAAAGUAAGAGAUAUAAUAAAAUAAAAAAUGACACGUAAGAAUUUAAUUUUUUUACCCAAUUAAACUAUAUCCAUGAAUAAAUAUAAAAGAAUUUUACUAAUUAAUAUAAAAAUUACAACAUCUUUGUUAAUAGAAGAACAAUUAAAAUUUCUCAAUUGCUAAAAAAAAAAAACAUAUCAUUUACUCUAUUACAAAUACCUUAUAAUUUUAAGAGAUUAUUUUUCCUUUCUUGCUUUUCUCUCUCUCUCUCUCUCAUGUUGUGUUUAAGACUCGGAUGUAUUAUUUAUUUAUAAACAAGCGGCAAAUAGCAAGUGGCACCAAUUGGUGUUGCUGCACCGAGUUAGACGACAAUGCCUACCUGGCUUCACACAAGCACUAUUAUUAAACCCGGUCCGGCAGGUCAACUCGGGACCCAGUCGACCCGGUGGCUGGAAUGAUCCGGUUUAAUAAAAGACCGGCUGUGGCAACAACCCGGUCAAACCCAGGUGACAUAGUAUAAAAAAAUCAUGUUUUUUCAAUGUAGGAUAAAAAAUCCUAUUGGUUUAAAUACUUCAACUUAAAAUGAUAACAUAGUAUCUUUUCAAUGUGGGAUUUGAAGCACUUUCAUAUAUAUACUAUGUGUUUCCAUGAAAAAAGUUAUGUUUUUUCAAUGUGGGAUUUGAAACCCAUUAGUAUUAUACUCUGUGUUCCCAAGAAAAAAAAUCAUGUUUUUUCAAUGUGGGAUAAAAAACCUUUUAGUUUAUAUACUUCAACUUAAAAGAAUAACAUAAUAUCUUUUCAAUGUGGGAUUUAAAGCCCUUUCAUAUAUAUACUCUAUGUUUCCAUGAAAAAAAUCAUGUUUUUUCAAUGUGGGAUAAAAAACUUUUUAGUUUAAAUACUUCAACUUAAAAGGAUAACAUAGUAUCUUUUCAAUGUGGGAUUUAAAGCCCUUUCAUAAAUAUACUCUAUGUUUCCAUGAAAAAAGUUAUGUUUUUUCAAUAUGGGAUUUGAAAUCUAUUUGUAUAUAUACUUUAUGUUCUCAACAAAAAAAUCAAGUUUUUUCAAUAUGGGAUAAAAAACCUUUUAAUUUAAAUACUUUAACUUAAAAAGAUAACAUAAUAUCUUUUCAAUGUGGGAUUUAAAGCCCUUUUGUAUAUAUACUCUAUGUUCCAAGAAAAAAGUUAUGUUUUUUCAAUGUGGGAAAAAUUUUUGAAAUAUUUUUUUAAACUUCAUUAUUUAUAAUAUGUAUAAUCUAUAUUUACAUGGAUUUUUUCUUAUGAAAUAUUAAAAGUUUAAUUUUUUAAUUUUCCUGAGUUAACCCGGGUUGACCCAUGAAACCCUGGACCCGGUUCCUUGACCGGGUUUAAUAACUAUGCACACAAGUCUCUAUAUAUACUGCUACCUCGAUGUGCUCAAUCUACUCAGAAAAUAUGGAUCAAAGAUUUUUGCAAAGAUUGUUCAGUCUUGUAUCCUCAGCUGAAAUUCUAUUUCUACUUCUUUUACCUCUAACAUUUAUCAUCCUCAAGAACAUUAUAAGGUCAUGUUCUAAAAGCAAGUAUCUUCCACCUGGUCCAAAGCCAUGGCCCAUCAUAGGCAACCUUCUUCAUAUGGGGAAUCAGCCUCAUGUAUCCUUGGCAGAAAUUGCAAAAAUCCACGGCCCCCUCAUCUCACUAAGGCUAGGAACUCAACUCCUUGUUGUUGGUUCUUCAGCAAAGGCAGCAACUGAGAUUCUCAAAACUCACGAUCGAUUCCUCUCUGCUCGACACGUACCUCAAGUGAUUCCUCGGGAAAGCCAUGUCCUUCGCCGGGUUGCGCUCGUCUGGUGCCCUGAAAGCAUUGAUACAUGGAAAUUGCUACGAGGAUUGUGUAGGACUGAGUUAUUUUCAGCCAAAGCAAUAGAGUCAAAUGCGACUUUGAGAGAGAAGAAAGUUGGGGAGUUGAUGGAUUUUUUGGUAGCAAGAGAAGGAAAAGUUGUUAGCAUUGGAGAAGUAGUGUUUAGUACUGUAUUCAACACAAUAUCGAAUCUUUUAUUCUCCAAUGAUCUUGCUGGUUUGGAAGAGAACGGGAUGUCAAGUGGAUUGAAGAGCCAUGUUCGGAAGCUGAUGCUGUUGAUUGCUGCUCCAAACAUAGCUGAUUUUUAUCCUAUAUUUGCAGGGUUGGAUCCUCAAGGUUUAAGAAGGAAAUUAUCCAAGCUUGUUGAAGAAACUUUUGCUACAUGGGCAAUCAACAUCAAGGAAAGAAGAAAUAGCUAUGUCCAAGAUUCUCCUAAAAGAGAUUUCUUGGAUGUUUUUCUUGCAAAUGGGUUUGACGACGAUCAAAUCAAUUGGUUAGCCUCAGUAUGAACAAACAAAAUACCUUUUGCUUUUAUUCCCAUGUAUUAAUUUGGUUUGAAUCCGAUGGAAUCUUGACAGUAUGUAAUUUCUGUUGGUUUUCUUUGCAGGAAUUGUUCAGCGCAGGCACAGACACUGCUGCCACAACAAUAGAGUGGGCAGUGGCCGAGAUACUGAAGAACAAAGAAGUUCUGGAAAAAGUUGAAGAAGAGCUCGAAAGAGAAACCACAAAGAAUACAAUUUCUGAAUCUGAUGUCUCUCAGCUUCCAUAUCUAAAUGCAUGUAUAAAGGAAACCUUGAGGUUACACCCUCCUGUGCCAUUGCUUGUUCCACAUCGCGCUACCGAGACCUGUGAGGUUAUGAAGUACACAGUUCCGAAGGAUUCUCAAGUUCUUGUGAAUGUUUGGGCAAUCAGCCGUGAUCCGUCGACCUGGGAAGACCCAUUAUCAUUUAAACCUGACAGGUUUCUUGGCUCAAAUGUGGACUUCAAAGGUGGCAACUACGAGUUUCUCCCAUUCGGUGCUGGAAGAAGAAUCUGCCCUGGAUUACCCAUGGCCAAUAAACUUAUCCCCUUGAUUUUAGCCUCUUUGAUCCGUUGUUUUGACUGGUCACUUCCCAAUGGUGAGGAUCUUGCAAGGUUAGACAUGAAGGAUAAGUUUGGUGUUGUUUUGCAGAAGGAGCAACCUCUACUUCUUGUUCCCAAAAGAAGAUUGUAAUUUCAGACUGGUUAUUGUCUACGUGCUGCUCUAAUAUGUUUAUCUACACAAAAUAAAAAGCUGUAAGCUUCAAUGUCUCCGUUUAUUUGCUGGAAAGUAUUUUGUUUUUGAAAAGUAAAUUCCAGAAAAAGUAUUUUUCGAUAUUUGGUAGUGUAAUGAAAAAUAAGUUGGAAAACACUUUCCAGUGUUUGGUUAUGUCAUUGAAAAUGAACUGAAAAAAAACUUAUUAAUAUUUUAUUUCUCUCAAGUUUAUUAAAAUAAUAAGGAGCAAAUCUUACAAAUUAAAAAGUUGAAUGAGAAUGAAAUUGAAAAAAAAUAUAUAAUUUCAUAAAUUAUCUCAAAUAAAAUAAAUAAUAAUCAAAAUAAUAGAGAUCAAAUCUAAAAAAUUAAAAAAAAAUGAAAGAUGAAGAAAUUAAAAUAAUAAUAAUCAACAUUUUAUAAAUUAUUUCAAAUAAAAUAAGUAACAAUCAAAAGAAUGAGGAUCAAAUUUGAUAGAUAAAAAAUUUCAAUAAAAAUAUGAUAAGGAAAAAGCAAAUAGCAAUUAUAAAAAUAAGGACCAAAGUUAAUAUAAAAAUAAAAUUUUAAGAGAUGAAAUUGAAAAAUAAAUAUUCAAAACCAAAUAUAUAUAGCAAUCAAAAGUUUGAGGAUUAAAUUUGAUGUAAUCAGCAAAUAAUGACAUUUCUAAAUUUUUCACAACUUCCGGAAAGUGUUUUCUCCCCAAAUUUUUCAGGAAAACACUUUCCUGAAAACCAAGCCAAAUUUUCCUUUUACUGGAAAGUGUUUUCUAUUGACCAACUUUCCUACUGGCAAACAAACACAAGAAAGUUUGGAAAGUGAUUUCCCGGAAACCACUUUCCGGAAAACAAACACAGCUAAAAGGAAAAUAUUUUCCUGAAAACCAAGUCAAAUUUUUUUUUGACUGGAAAAUAUUUUUCGUUGACCGGAAAGUGUUUUCCGUUAACUAUAAAGUAUUUUCGUUGAUCAACUUUUCUAAUGACAAAAAAAUUUGUUUUCAGACAAAAAAACAUGGUCUAAAACUCGAUUUUGAUUUUGAAUGCUAGCGGGUGUUGUUUUUUUAUCUUGCUUUAAGAAAAAUGAAGGACUCAAAUCCCCAAACCAAUUUGUCCAGAUUUUCAUAAAUAUCAAGUCCUAUCUAGCAAUCAGCAGCCAUUCUAGGCUUAUCUUAGCCAAGGACCAAGAGCCCAGCCAAGUGGGCAGUGCAUUUAAUGUUAAUAUAAAAAAUAAAAAAUAAAAACAUAUAAGAAAAUUUAUUUUGAUUAUUUUUAAUUAAAAAACAUUACUAUUUUGUGUAAAAAUAUAAUCAUGGCAUAUAGGAUUAUAAUUAUGAUUAAUCUUUUAUCUAUUAGGACUAAAACAUGUUCUCUGUAAAUAUGUGCUUAAGCUUAGUUCCUUUUAAGGAUGAUCUUGUAUGCUCGUGUUAAAAAAAAAAAUUAGCAAGAGAGAGAUUUAUAUUAUGUUGUGAGGAUUUAAUGUAUUUGGGAUUCAAGUUUAAAAUUAGUUUUUUAAAACUUGUACAAAUUAUGAUUAUAGUAAAUUUUUUUUUAUUAUUAACGUGGGUAUCCGGGUCAAUUUGUGCGCCUCUCGAUUAAUCCCACGGGCCCUAAAAUUAACGAUCAUAUAAGUUUUCAGUGAUCUUGAGAUUUGUGAGACUCAAAUUGAUGAUCUCUAUAAAGCAAAUUUAAAAUCUAAACAGUUGAGCUACACCUUUAGGGUUACUAAAUUUUUUUUUUUUGUUUAUUUUUAGAUGUUGGCAUGGACUAAUAAUGUAAAAUCAGUGUGUAAUUUAUUUACUUAUUUUUUCCAUAUGCUCUAUGUCUAUGGGUGCCAGUUUUAACAAAUACCCUUACAAUUUUUCCUCCAUGCCAAACAUAUCAUAGAGAGUGAAUACAUUGUAAUUGGGUCGGGUCUCCGAAAAUAUGGGUCGCAAAAGGCACAAAAAUAAUUCAUAAGCCCAAGAACCUCUUUAUAUGGGCUCAUUGUUUGUAACAAUAGGACAGACUAAGAUACUUAUGGGCUGAGCUUUGGUAAUCCCAAGAACUUCAAAGUCAGCCCACAUGUAAGCUUACAUGGCCAACUUCCAAUUUCCAAACAUGGCCUGGCAUCCGAUUUGUUUUAUAUAUUUUCUAGUGCAAUUUUAAAUGUGAACAAAUAAUAAUUCAAGUUGCAAGAAAUUCAUUGAUAUUAUUCUUAAACCCAGUUUAGUGAGUUAAAUUUAAAAAAUCUUGACUUGAAGCCAUGUUAAUUCUGGAUUUUUAAUUAAAUUAAGUGAGAGUUAUAUCGAUUUCAAUCAAUUAAUUUUAUUGGUUGAAGAAAUGAAAAAAAAAUCAAAAGAAAAAAUUGACAUAAAAAAAAUUUAGAUGUAUAGGUUUAAAGGAAAGCUAAACUAUUGUUAAAAAUGAUUUGAUUUUUAAAAAACUUAAAGCUAAUAAUUUUUAGUUAUGGCACUAACCCGUGAAAUAUUAUAUGUUCUUUUCCUUGGGUUGUUUCUGAGUGGCAUCACCGCUGCACAAAGGGAAGCAACGCUGCCCAUCACUCAAAAAGGGGCCGGUAUCUUCCCCACAAGAGCGAUAGUUCCACCGUCGGCGCCCGGCAAGCAGCAUAAUUCCGUUCCGAGGUGCUCUUUGCUAUGGAUUAGAUCAAAAUCAAAUGAAUGCAUUGAAAAAAAUGUGCUAUUUUUUUUCAUGUGAUAAAAUAUUAAAAAUGUGGAUUAAAAACUUGAAUAGUAUAUCAAAUAAAGGUAGUUGACUAUCAUAUAUGUUAAUAAAAAAAAUGAUGUGGCUUAUCUGAUCUAACAUGUUAAGAGCGAACUAAUCACCAUAUUUAAAUGGUGAUGUAGUUGGUUAAAACUUAAUGUCAUUGUUAUUUUCACCUGUACCUAACAUUAGCUCAAAUGUGAAAUAACGGAUUGUCAAAAGAUUAAAUCAUCAAAAAAUAUUAGGAGUGAAAUAAAAAAAUAAUGACACAUUGUAUUGACUCGUGCUAACCUGCGUAAUCAACAACCAGGGUAAUGGUCACAAUCAUAAUAAGUCAACCUAUCUGGACAAUAAAGCCUUUUCUUUAUUCUUCCCUUAUUCUCCUCGUAGUUGAGCCUAGAUUGGGUCUCAAACUUCGAUUUCAAUUAAAUAAUGGAGAUGAAGUUUAAAAAAUAAUUAAAUAUUGAAUAAUAAAACUGAAAAGAAUUAGCUUAAAAAAAACACAAGCCUAAGCGAAUCUUUUAUACCGGAGUUAAUCUUUUAAAUUCACAAUCAAUAAAAUCCUAAACUCGAGUUCAAUUAAUAAUUUUAAUUCUCAACCAAUUUAAUGUUGAAGGAUGAAAUUAUAAUAAAAAUAUUGAUUAAAACAAAUUUUCAAAGCAAAAGGGAUUACAACAAAAAAAUAAGGAUCAAAUCACAUAGAAAAAAAUUUGGAGGAUGAAAUUGUAAAAUAUAUUUAAUUCUAAAAAUCAUCUAAAACAAAACAAAUAGCAAUUAAAAUAACGAGGAUAAAAUCUGACAGAUAAAAAAUGAAGGAUGAAAUUGAAAAAUAAAUAAAUAUGCAAUGAUGAAACUAAAAAAAUAUUAGCUUAAAAAGAGAAAGAAAAAAAACAAAGUAAACUCGUGUGAAUCUCUUAAACCUUGAUUAAUUUCUCAAACUUGCACCUUGUAAAAUUUUAGAUAUAAGUUUAAUCAAGAAACUCAAUUCUCCGAUUGAAGAAUAAAAAAAAUUAUAAAUAAAUAAAUUACCAAAACAAAAGGGAAUUGGGAAAAAAAGAAAGAAAAGGAUCAAGACAUCUAGAAAAAAAAGGAUGAAAUCGUUAAAAAAACUUCAAUUCUAAAAAUUAUUUAAAAUAAUAUAAAUAAUAAUCAAAUGAAUAAGAAUCAAAUCUAACAAAUAAAAAAUUAAAAGAUAACAACUUAAAAACAAAUUCUAUAAAUCAUUUUAAAAAAAUAAUUAAAAUAAUAUGAAUGAAAUAUAAAAAUAAAUAAAUUAAAUAACUGAUUUAAAAUUAUAAAAUGCCACCUGUAGAAACCAAGUUGGAGAGAGAAAAAUUAGUUAGGUGUUGCCCUUAAUUUUGAUCCAACAAAUUGUUGGUUUGACCACCCAGUGCUUAGUGAUCCUUCUGUGGGAUUGUACUUAAUUUUGUACUUUUAGCUUAUUAGGUCUACAUUUACUCAUAUAAUUUAAUUUUUUAGGGUUCCUAAGCCCCGAUUUCAAAAAAAAUAAAAUUAAGAACCUUUUUUUUUAUCAACUAAGAAAAUGCAUGUUAUGUAGAAAGAAAUAUUAAUUGAUUAGGGUAGUACAAAAUAUCUUUUUAUUUGUUAUUAUGAUAAGUAAUUGGCAUGUUUGAGAAUCUGGUUAUAGUUGCUUUUUAAAGUGUUUUAUAUGUCAAAAUGUAUUAAAAAAAUAUUUUUAAGAUUAGAGCAUUGAAACGAUCCAAAACAUACCAAAAAAAUUAAUUUUUAACAAAAAUAAAUUUAAAUUUUAGUAAAAUAUGAUUUGCAUCACGUUUCCAAAUAUCUUCUUCCUAAAUAUUUUCUUUGCCUAGUUAUUGAAUAUCGUGUAUUGUCAAUAAAAAAGAAAAGAACAUUGCACCAUGAUUUAUAAUAAAUGAUAAUCGUUUAUUUUCUUAAGAAAGUAACGGCAUACAAGAUCCAAAUAGAUUUCCUAAAAAAUGCAUGUUAUAUAGAAAGAAAUCUCCAUUGAUUAGGAAGUAAAGAGUAUAUUUUUUAUUUGAUAUUAUGAGAAGUUUUUAUCUAAAUAUUGAAUAGCACGUGUUGCCAAUAAAAAAUAAAUAAAGAAUAUGACUCCAUAAUUUAUAAGAAGUAAAAAUUGUUUAUAUACGUUUUUUUGAGAGUAACUAUACAGGAUCCAAAUAGAUCAUUAAAAAAUGCAUGUCAUGUAAAAAGAAAUCUCCAUUGAUUAGGAGAGUAAAGAAUAUAUAUUCUGUAAUAAAGAAUAUUGCUCCAUAAUUUAUUAUUGAUUUUGUUUUUGUGGCAGUAUAUAAAUUACAGUCUCUUCCGUGAUCUCUACAACUCAAUUUGCUUUUUAGUUAUGGCACUAAUCCGUGAAUUAUAUUGUUCUUUUCCUCGGGUUGUUUCUGAGUGGCAUCACCGCUGCACAAAGGGAAGCAACGCUGCCCAUCAAUCAAAAAGGGGCCGGUUUCUUCCCCACAAGAGCGAUAGUUCCACCGUCGGCGCCCGGCAAGCAGCAUAAUUCCGUUCCGAGGCUGCGUUCUAUUCCAGCAACAAGCAUAGUGGAUGUGUUAUGUGUGCGAAGACGAAUAAUUAGCAGACCCCCACUUUUAUAUGUGCGUUGAUUUCAUAAUUUCCUUUUGUUUUGAAUAAAGAAGUGCGGGUAUUGCAUAUUUUGUUAUUUGAUAUUAUGUUAAGUCUCUGUCUAAAUAUUAAAUAACAAGUAUUUUCAAUAAAUAAUAAGAAUAUUACUCCAUAAUUUAUAGCAAACAAUAAUCGUUUGUUUAAUUUCAAGAAAGUACCUACAUGCAAGAUCCAAAUAGAGCAAUUAUAAAAUGCAUGUUAUAAAGAAAGAAACUAGUUUUGUAGCUCAUACUAUAUUUCGGUUUGUAUUAAAAAAUCUCUGAAGGUAAAACAAAAUGUUAAGAUUUUAAAAAAUUAUUCGAUAUUAUUAUUAAAUUUGAGUAAACCUUAAAUUCUUUUGACUUACUCUUUGCUUAGCUCUAGAUUAAAAUUAAUUUUGAAAGAGGUACUCUAAUAUAACUCAGUAGACUUGAUUGGUCUAAUAACUAAGGUUUGAUUUAAAAAACAAUUUACCAAACCUACAACCCAUAUUAAAUCGAUCCAAGUUUCGUAACUUAAUUUACCAAACCUACAAUCCAUAUCAUAGACUCAACUAGUUUUAACAACUUUACUUUUUAAAUUAUUUUUUAUUUAAAGAUAUGAUAAUGAAAAUAGACGCUUAUAUAAUUGAGCACCAACCAAAUACUGGAAUGUUUAUUUGAGACUGUGAUAACCUAAAAAACAAAAACAAAUCAAAACAAAUUAUGAAGACCAAUUUAGAGUUAAUCAAAUAUUGAAGAAUGAAAUUGAUAAAAAAAAAUCAAAUAAAAUUCAAUUAAAAUAAGAAAAAAUGGAAGAUGAAAUUUAAAAACAAGAAAUUAUUUUGAAUUGUUAUUGAAAUGGACCAACUAGGUAACUUUGAAAUUUCCUAACCAGACUUCUUAUUUAGUUUGGGUUUAAAGGCUUAACUUGUAAAACCCAUGACUUGAAUCAUGGGCUUCAUUGGGUUUAAAAAGUUUAUUUUUUUUUAUUUAAUGAUAUGACAAUAAAAAAAACACUUGUAAAAAUUGAAUUUUAAUCAAAUAUUAAUAUAUUUGUUUGAGACUACGAUAAUCUCAUAUAAAAAAAUUAAAACAAAUUAUAAUGACCAAUUCAAAUUUAUUAAAAUAUUAAAUGAUGAAAUUAGAAGAAAAAAAUUAGAAAGAUAAAAUUAAAAAAAAAAAUAUUUAAAAAAAUGAGGUGCUUUACCAGAACAGUAAAUAACCAUAACGUUUCCCAAUUCUUUCAGUAGAGAGAGUAAUCUCCAAUAUUGGGUAGGAAAGUAAAGAAUAUUUUGUUAUUUGAAUAUAAGUCUUUGUUUAAAUAUUGAAUAACAAGUAUUGUUGAUAAAAUGUUUUAAAAAUAAAAAAUAUUAACCAGUAAGUUAACAAUUCAAGAAGAUAAUGUAGUGUUAAUUUUUUUAUAUCAUAAAAUUUUAAUCUGCUUGUGUUAUAGAGAUUUAAAAAUAUGUAAUGUAAACAACAAUAAUUGGUAUUAUUUUAUUUCAUGAGAUCUUGUAUUUAUGAAAAGAUAUUUUAAAUAUUUUAUUCUAUGUGUCAAAUUUUUAUUGACAAAAAAAAAUAUAAAUUUUUAUUUAUUUAAAUUUUAUUUUACAUUUUCAUGAAAAAAACAAAAUAAAAAAUUACAUAUAAAAAAAAUUUGAUUUAUAAAUUUUUUUAUAUUUCUACACUUGUGUUUACCGCCACCUGUAGCUCGUAAUCUUCGUUCUCUAGAAUGGGGUGUCAGAGGUUUCUUGUUAAUGAUGAAGCAAGUGGUUUUGAAAGGAUAACUAGAGUUUUGACCUCAUGCGAUGGUGAACUAAGGAGAAGUUGGAGUUUUUCUACAAUGGGUAGCCAUUGAAAGAAUUAAAAUAAAGUGAAAGCUGACACAGGAUGAAGAAAAUUAUAUUCACUGCAUUACAUUGUUACUUACAGUGUAAGUGUAUAUAUAUAUAUGCGUACAAUCUUAAAGAUAAGAUAAGUGAAAGAAUUUGAAAUUUAAAACUAUAGCAGUAUUUGAAUUUGAAACUAUAACAGAUUAUCUUCAUUCAUCUUCUUCUGAUCUUCCUCUGAUCUUUCUCCCAUGCUUGAAUCUGCUCCUGAUUUUGUUGAGAUUGUUAUGCUAUUUAAUACUCUAACACCCUCCCUCAAACUGUGGGGAAGAAGACAGACACAUAGUUUGUCUCUGAGAAAAAAAAACCGGUUUGCAGUAUGGCUCUUUGUAAAGACAUCAGCAAUUUGAUCUUGUGUGGAGGUAUGCAGAAUUUGAACAUCAUGAUUAACCACCUUUUCUCUGACGAAAUGGUAGUCAAUUUCAAUGUGUUUGGUGUGUGAAUGAAAGACAGGAUUAGAAGCUAAUGCAAUAGCACUGACAUUGUCACACCAUAAGCUUGGAGCAGCAGACAACGUGAUAUGCAAUUCUUGAAGAAGCAUGCGAAGCCAGUACAAUUCAGCUGUUGUAUGAGCCAUGCUUCUAUAUUCAGCCUCUGUGCUAGAUCGAGAGACAACACUCUGCUUUUUGCUGGACCAAGAUAUGAGAUUAGAGCCAAGAAACACACCAUAACCAGUGGUGCUCCGCCUGUCAUCAGGAUUGCCUGCCCAAUCAGAGUCACAGUAGGCAUGCAUUGUGAUUGUUCCUGGAGUGUAAAGAAGACCAAACUCGACAGUACCUUUAAGAUAGCGUAAGACACGCUUAACAGCUAUCCAGUGAAGUGCACAUGGAGAGUGCAUAAACUGACAUAACUGGUUUACUGAGUAGGAAAUAUCUGGUCUUGUGAUUGUGCAGUAUUGAAGAGCCCCUACAACUCGUCGAUAUUCAGUUGGAUUCUCUAACGGUUCACCAGCAGUAGAUGAGAGUUUUGAGCCAGAAGAUGAUGGACAACGAAGAGGCCUUGCACCAAGCAUAUAGGUACUGUUGAGCAGAUCAGUUAUAUACUUUGUCUGUCGCAAAUGUAAACCAGCUUGGUUUCUAAUGGCUUCAACAACAAGAAAGAAGCUUAAUUCCCCCAAGUCUUUAAUUGGAAACACUGUCUGUAGUUGAUCAAUAAAAGAAUGAAUUGCUUGAUUGUCAGAUCCUGUGAUUAUUAUAUCAUCAACAUAUACUAACACAAACAUACGUAAAGUGUCAGAAUUAUAUGUAAACAAUGAAUAAUCCAUCUUGGAUUCUGAAAAACCAAAGUCAAUCAGCUGCUGUGAGAGGCGUUUAAACCAAGCUCGAGGAGCUUGUUUGAGACCAUAAAUAGACUUGUGUAGAUAGCAUACAUGAUCAGGAAAGAUGUGAUCUUCAUAACCUUUCGGUUGUUCCAUGUAUACUACUUCAUCGAGAAUACCAUGCAGAAAGGCAUUGGAAACAUCCAACUGCCGAAUAUUCCAUUUGAAUGAGACUGCAAGAGAAAGGAUUAAUCUGAUGGUAGUUGGUUUUACUACUGGUGAAAAAGUAUCAAAGUAAUCAAUACCAGGAAUUUGUUCAAACCCUUUGGCUACAAGCCUCGCUUUGUAGCGAUCAAUACUGCCAUCAGGAUGUCUCUUUAGCUUAUACACCCAUUUAUUUCUGACAACAUGUGUAUGUGAAGGUCUAGGACAGAGAGACCAUGUGUUAUUUGCUAGUAGCGCAUCAAAUUCACGUCCCAUUGCUGCUUUCCAAUGUGGAUUGGAUACUGCCUUUGUGAAACAAGUAGGUUCAGAUUCAAUGACUAUACUGGAGAAAACUUUUAGAGGAUGUCGGGUAGAAUAAAAAGUUUUAAAACCAGGGAACUCUUUAGGUUUAAGACUACCCGUUUGAGAUCGAGUAACCAUUUGUCUAGGCAGUACAGAAGACAAUGCAGGAGAAGAAAUAGGAUCAGGUAAGGACACAGGAUCUGUGGGAGAAGGCAGUAUAGGAGAUAUUGGGGAAGACAUGACAGGGGAUGCAGCAGGACAUAAACUAGAAUCAGAUAAUGACACAUGAUCGGUGGAAGAAGGAGUAGGAAUUGAAGGUGCAAUUGUGGAAUGUUGUAAGGAUAGACCUUCAGUGGAAGAAGGACUUUCGGUUGCAAAAGAAAUUGAAACAGGUGGAGUAAAAUUGAAAUGCUGAGCAUGAGAAAUUAAAGGAACUAAAUUGGAAGGAAGAGUAGUACCUGAAGACUGGUUGCUCGCAGGAGUGGCAGAAGAAUGACUUUUAUCCAAGUGAGGGAAAGUGUUUUCAUCAAAAACAACAUGCCUGGAAAUAAACACCCUGCCUGUAGCAAAAUCUAAACACCGAUAACCUUUUUGUUGAUUUGAAUAUCCUAAGAAAAUACAUUGUUUGCUUCUAAAAGCUAACUUAUGUUUUUCAUAUGGUCUGAGAUAAGGAUAACAUGCACAACCAAAUAAUGCGCAGGUCAGAGUAGCGAGGCAUAGUUUUAUGGAGAACAAAGUAAGGUGUGAUAUUAUUAAGGACUUUCGUUGGUAAACGAUUAAUCAGGUAUACUGAAGUAAAAAAGGCAUCUACCCAAUAACAGUUUGGAAGACAAGCUUGGGCUAAGAGGGUUAAUCCCAUUUCUUGAAUAUGGCGAUGUUUACGUUCAGCAAUUCCAUUUUGUGGGGAUGUAUAGGGACAUGUCAAGCGAUGAAAUAUUCCAUGUUUAGCCAAAAAAUUCUGAAACUCUGUUGAUAAGUAUUCUCCACCAUUAUCAGAUUGUAGUUGUUGAAUUGUGCAGGAGAAUAGAUUUUCAACAAGAUCUUUAUAGAUUUGAAAUAUGGAAAAAACAUCACUUUUGAACCGCAUAGGAUACAUCCAUGUAAAGCGACUAAAAUCAUCAAUGAAUAGAACAUAAUAUCGACAUCCCCCUACUGAAGUAACAGGAGAUACCCAGACAUCAGUGUGAAUCAAGGCUAGAGGUCUGGCCGAUUGUCUUUGAGAAUCACUAAAAGGUAGCUUUUUAGAUUUCCCUAACUGGCAGGGAGAACAAAUACUUGAUUUGCUAGGUGACUCUUUUAUUGGUAGGAAAGAAGAUAAAUAGUUUAAAGUUGAGUCGGAAGGAUGACCAAGGCGUUUAUGCCAUUGAUCUCUAGUGGUUGUGGUCCCUAAGUUAGAGGUAAAGCAACGAAAUUGCUUGGUGCAAUUCUUAUUCCCAGUGAUUGGAUAAAGGCCAUUCUCAACCAGCCCUUGGAGCAGCAGUCGGCUGGUCUUGUUUUCCUUGAUAAAAAAAGAAGUUCCAGUAAGUAUGAAGUAACAAUUAUUGUCAAGGCAGAAUUGAUUAAUGGACAACAGGUUAGAUGCAGCUUGAGGACAAUACAAAACAUUAUUCAGACGAAAGGAAUUAUGUGAUGUAUGUAACGAGGAGGAACCAGUAUUUUGAAUCAUCAAACCUGAACCAUUCCCAACUUGAACAGUAUCCAUACCAUCAUAAGGCUGCAGGUUGUUAAAUCGGCUACAUUAGCAGUAAUGUGAGCAUUAGCCCCACUGUCAGCAUACCAAGUGUGUUGCUCAAAAGUAUUAUUGGCUUCAGCAGCCAUGGCUGCCAAUUCAGAAGGAGGUCGUCUGCCCUGAAAAGAAAAUUAAACCGUUGAAAGCAAUCCAAUGCAGCAUGACCAAUUUUGUCACAGAUUUGACAUUGUGGUCUGUCAUAUGAAGAAACACGAUCAUUAUGAGGCUGAAUUCUGGAAGGGCCUCGAGAUUGUGGUAAUGCAGAAUGUGGCUGGAAUUUGGCAGGAAUAAGUGCAGGUUUCCUUUUUGGAAAAUGAGAUGCUUUUGCAGCAAAGGCAAAAUUAUGAGAUUGGAUGGGAGUGGAGGCUUCAAGUAAUGUUUCAAAACUGAGAAGUUCAGAUUGAAAAUCAUCCAAAGAUAGAUCCUUAUCUCGACAAGCAAAAUUAUAGGACGUGAUAAAGGGUGUAAAGUUGGGACGAAGUCCUCCAAUUAAAAAUGUAAUGAAGUCUUGUUCAUCUACAGGUUUGCCUGCAGCAGCAAGUUGAUCAGCCAACAGUUUAGCAUCUUCAAGAAAUGCAGAACAUGGUCGGUUGCCUUGAACAAGAGUUUGAAGUUGCCUCUUAAGAAGAGCAAUACGGGAUCUUGAGGUAGAUGAAAAUCGUGCCUGAAGAGAGUCCCAAACUUGUUUGGAAGUCUUUAGAUUAAAGACAGUAGAAACUAACUUCUCAGAAAUGGAAGCAAGUAGCCAGUUGAGAACACAAUUAUCCUUUUUGAACCAAAUUGCGUAGGCUGGAUUAGAAGAAUGAUCUGAAAGAGUUCUGGUUGGUGGCUCUUCAGAACCAUCAAUCAUACCAUUGAGAUCAUGGCUACGAAGAAAAACUUGAAACUGAACACUCCAUGGCAGGUAAUUAUGUCCUUCAAGUCUUUGGCUGACUGGUUGUGAAUUGGAUUGAAUCUUUUGGGGUGAAGAGAACAGGGGAAGAGUUGUAGAAUCAGAUGAAGUCAUAGUUGAGAUGAUGAAAAAGAAGAAAGAGUGGAUUUGUGUUUAAUGUGCGGAAGCUGUGGCAAAUCAAGUGUUAACCUAUGAUUGCUCUGAUACCAUGAAAGAAUUAAAAUAAAGUGAAAGCUGACACAGGAUGAAGAAAAUUAUAUUCACUGCAUUACAUUGUUACUUACAGUGUACAUAUAUAUAUAUAUAUAUAUAUAUAUAUAUAUGUACAAUCUUAAAGAUAAGAUAAGUGAAAGAAUUUGAAAUUUGAAACUAUAGCAGUAUUUGAAUUUGAAGCUAUAACAGAUUAUCUUCAUUCAUCUUCUUCUGAUCUUUCUCCCAUGCUUGAAUCUGCUCCUGAUUUUGUUGAGAUUGUUAUGCUAUUUAAUACUCUAAUAGCCAUUUCAUGGUGGGAAAUUGAUGGCAUCCUUGAGAGCGAUGUGCUGUUGGUGGUUUUUGUGAUGGUGUUUAUAAGAUCCCACAUCGAAAGCGAGCGUUCAGAGCCAAAGCCUUAUAAGUGCAUGCUCACCUUGACUAGUAAGACGCGUUUUUGGGUCAUGCAUGACUGCCAAGAACAAACCCGUGAGGGGGACCUGGGUAGAAGCCCUGGAUUUAGGUGGACUGAGAGGCCCAAAGCGGACAAUAUCUUGCUAGUGAGAUGGGGUGUUACAUUUGGUAUCAGAGCUAAGGACGACUCGUCUUAAGGUGGGGGAAUUGUAAGAUCCCACAUCGAAAGCGAGCGUCCAGAGCCAGGGCCUUAUAAGUGCAAGCUCACCUUGAUUAGUAAGACGCGUUUUGGGGCCAUGUGGCUGCCAAGAACAAACCCGUGAGGGAGACCUGGGUAGAAGCCCUGGAUUUGGGUGGACUGGGAGGUUCAAAGCGGACAAUAUCUUGCUAGUGAGGUGGGGUGUUACAGUGUUGAUCAGGUUAGAUAUUCUUUUUGAUUUUGGUACUCUUUCUAAUUUUUGUAUAAUAGUGAUUUUAUAUUAUUUUAAUGUACUGAUUUCAAAAAUAAUUUUAAAAAAAUAAAAUAACAUCAUUUUAAUAUAUUUCUAAACAAAAACAUUUUAAACCGCAACCGCUACUAUAAUCCCAAACAGUUUCAAAGAGAAGAUUGUAGUGUGUGACAUGGUUAUUAAGCUCGACUUAGGAUUGGCCUGAGUCAAAACUCAAAUCAUGAGUAAGGAGAAUUAACUUAGGUUGAUUAAAAAUAUUAAAUGUCAAAAUGAAGUUUUUUUUUUAAAAAAAGUCACAUGUAUUUUUACUGGGUUUCAACAUCGGAUCAAUUCAAGUUUUUGACUGAGUCACUCAAGGCAAUUUCUCUUUCUAUUUUUUGUGAAAUUCAAACUAGUCUAAACUCUGAGCAAGCUGGUCCGAGUUUUAUAAUAGUGAUUUAUGGUGGAGUGUGAUGGUGUUUUAAGAAGAUGUAGAAUGUGUUUGGAAACCGCAUUCCUUAAAUUUUGAUUUUUUUUGUUAAAAAUAAUAUAUUUUAUGUUUUCAGAUCGUUUUAAUGUGCUAAUAUCAAAAAUAAUUUUUAAAAGAUAUAUAAAAAAAAUUUAUUUUAAUAUAUAUUUUUUUAAAAAUAUUUUAAAUUAUAAUUAUUAUUAUAAUCCCAAAUAUUCUUGUAAGGUUGUGCGAUAAUUAAGUAAGAUGAUGGAACCUUUUGUUUUUUUUUUUUUUUUUUUUAGAAAAAGGUUUGAAAGGCUUGAUUGGCCAUGUAAAAGAGCAGUUGUUGAAUACGAGCAAAACUUUGUUCAUGAAUGCUCAUUUCCUUGGCCACCAGCUUGGAAGGUUGUUGAAGCAUUGCCCCCCUUUUUAUUAUUAUUAUUAUCUUUUUGUUGUUUUAGGACAAUUGGGAGAAGUCUUUUCCUACUGCAAAUGAGAUUCAUGUAUUUAUUUUACAAGCAAAAAUCAAAAUGGUUACGUCAUUGAGGCAUUUGAGAUUUGUACUGAAAUUAUAUAUUUUCAAUCACUAUUCUUUUUACGACUUUCAAUCGAACAAGAUUGACUUUUACAAUCUUAGAAUUCAAGCAAUUUAAAUUUAUAAUAUCAAUAUUGUUUAAAACUAAGUAUCAAAAGGAACUAUUAUUAAUUAAAUCUCUCGAUGAAUUUUGAAUUAUUUUCCUUUACUCAUAUUAGAUCAUCUUUUAUAGUAAUCAAAUAUCAAAUUACUCAUAAUAUAAUGCUUUUAACUUAACUAUUCGUCUAAAUUAAAACCCACAUGUAUGAUAAAGAGUAUAAAUAUAUUUAUGAAGAAGAAAAUAUUAUUUGAAUCAAAUAUAACAUAUAAUAUAAAAGUAUAAUUGCUUUAUAGAUUUUUAGGAAUAUAAUUCAGAUUUAACUUGUUGGUAUUAAGCUUUUUUUUUUAAAUCAAAUUCCUUAUUACCAUCUAACUUGGAUUCAAACAAAUAAUAAUAAAACUUUAUAAAAGAAUAUAUAUGCCCAAGUAAUUGUGAAUCUCAUAAAUAUUUGAUUUGGAAUGUCGUAGCAUAGCAUUGUAUGAGAAUUUUAUAUUAUUUGUUUUUAUACAUAGCACUAGUUUUUUUUUUUUAAAUAAUUGUGUUAUAUAAUGUUAUCAAAUUAUACAAAUGACCCAGACUAGCAGGACCAAGUGCGGACAGCAACCUUCUGCUCAAUUUGUAUAUUGUCUUUCUUGCUAGCUUGUCGGCUUUAUAGCACUAGCAUUGAUUAAUAAUAUAUCCUUGAUUUUUUUAAAAAAAAAUCUUCUGCCCACCUGCACGUUUAAUUGGAUGAAAGUUUUAAAUUUCAAGAAUCAAGAUUUCGUUUGAUUUUAGGAGGAAAAAACAAUAUUGGUCCAAUUGUGGACUUAGUGGUUUGGUAUUUGAUUUUUUUUUUUUUCUGAUUCCAUAUCGGUGAAUGUCUAUCAUAAUUAAUUAUGGUAUAAUUCUAGGAGAUUUUUUGUAAUUAUUUUUAAAAAAUAUUUUUAACUCUAAGAAAAAACUUCUUGAAUAUAAUCUUCUUAAGAGAUAAGCUAUUAUAAAACUAACAUACAAACUUAACAAAAUAAAACAUAAAAAAUAUGAUAAAAUGACAAAUAACACAUAAAAAUUUACCUGAUUAACCCAAUUAAACUAUAUUUAUGAACAAAUAUAGAAGAAUUUUAUUAAUUAAUGUGAAAAUUACAACUUUUUUAUUAAAAAGAAGAACAGUUAAAAUUUCUCAAUUACUAAAAAAAAUAUAAUUUAUUCUGUUAUAAAUACCGGAUUAUUUUUCCAUUCUUGCCUUCAUUUUUCUCUCUCGUGCUGUGUUUAAGGCUCGGAUGUAUUAUUUAUUUAUAGACAAGUCAAGUAUUCAUGUGCCUAUAGCAAGUGGCACCAAUGCCUAUCUGGCUUCACAUAAGUCUCUCUAUAUAUUGCUACCUCGAUGUGCAAAAUCUUCUCAGAAAAUAUGGAUCCAGGAUUUUUGCAAAGAUUGUUCAGUCUUGUAUCCUCAGCUGAAAUUCUAGUUCUACUUCUUUUACCUCUAACAUUUAUCAUCCUCAAGAACAUUACAAGGUCAUGUUCUAAAAGCAAGUAUCUUCCACCUGGUCCAAAGCCAUGGCCUAUCAUAGGCAACCUUCUCCAUAUGGGGAAUCAGCCUCAUGUCUCCUUGGCAGAAAUUGCAAAAAUUCAUGGCCCCCUCAUCUCGCUAAGGCUAGGAACUCAACUCCUUGUUGUUGGUUCUUCAGCAAAGGCAGCAACUGAGAUUCUCAAAACUCACGAUCGAUUCCUCUCUGCUCGACACGUACCUCAAGUGAUUCCUCGGGAAAGCCAUGUCCUUCGCCGGGUUGCGCUCGUCUGGUGCCCUGAAAGCAUUGAUACAUGGAAAUUGCUACGAGGAUUGUGUAGGACUGAGUUAUUUUCAGCCAAAGCAAUAGAGUCAAAUGCGACUUUGAGAGAGAAGAAAGUUGGGGAGUUGAUGGAUUUUUUGGUAGCAAGAGAAGGAAAAGUUGUUAGCAUUGGAGAAGUAGUGUUUAGUACUGUAUUCAACACAAUAUCGAAUCUUUUAUUCUCCAAUGAUCUUGCUGGUUUGGAAGAGAAAGGGAUGUCAAGUGGAUUGAAGAGCCAUGUUCGGAAGCUGAUGCUGUUGAUUGCUGCUCCAAACAUAGCUGAUUUUUAUCCUAUAUUUGCAGGGUUGGAUCCUCAAGGUUUAAGAAGGAAAUUAUCCAAGCUUGUUGAAGAAACUUUUGCUACAUGGGCAAUCAACAUCAAGGAAAGAAGAAAUAGCUAUGUCCAUGAUUCUCCUAAAAGAGAUUUCUUGGAUGUUUUUCUUGCAAAUGGGUUUGACGACGAUCAAAUCAAUUGGUUAGCCUCAGUAUGAACAAACAAAAUACCUUUUGCUUUUAUUCCCAUGUAUUAAUUUGGUUUGAAUCCGAUGGAAUCUUGACAGUAUGUAAUUUCUGUUGGUUUGCUUUGCAGGAAUUGUUCAGCGCAGGCACAGACACUGCUGCCACAACAAUAGAGUGGGCAGUGGCCGAGAUACUGAAGAACAAAGAAGUUCUGGAAAAAGUUGAAGAAGAGCUCGAAAGAGAAACCACAAAGAAUACAAUUUCUGAAUCUGAUGUCUCUCAGCUUCCAUAUCUAAAUGCAUGUAUAAAGGAAACCUUGAGGUUACACCCUCCUGUGCCAUUGCUUGUUCCACAUCGCGCUACCGAGACCUGUGAGGUUAUGAAGUACACAGUUCCGAAGGAUUCUCAAGUUCUUGUGAAUGUCUGGGCAAUCAGCCGUGAUCCGUCGACCUGGGAAGACCCAUUAUCAUUUAAACCUGACAGGUUUCUUGGCUCAAAUGUGGACUUCAAAGGUGGCAACUACGAGUUUCUUCCAUUCGGUGCUGGAAGAAGAAUCUGCCCUGGAUUACCCAUGGCCAAUAAACUUAUCCCCUUGAUUUUAGCCUCUUUGAUCCGUUGUUUUGACUGGUCACUUCCCAAUGGUGAGGAUCUUGCAAGGUUAGACAUGAAGGAUAAGUUUGGUCUUGUUUUGCAGAAGGAGCAACCUCUACUUCUUGUUCCCAAAAGAAGAUUGUAAUUUCAGACUGGUUAUUGUCUACGUGCUGCUCUAAUAUGUUUUAGAUCUACACAAAAUAAAAAGCUGUAAGCUUCAAUAAAACUCGAUUUUCAUUUUGAGUACCAUGGGGUGUUGUUUUUUUGUCUCAUAUCCCCAAACCAAUUUGUCCAGAUUUUCAUAAAUAUCAAAUCCUAUCUAGCAGUCAGCAGCCAUUCCAGUCUUAUCUUAGCCAAGGACCAAGGGCCAAGCCAAGUGGGCAGUGCAUUUAAUGUUAAUAUAAAAAAUAAAAAUAAAAAUAAAAACAUAUAAAAAAAUUUAUUUUGAUUAUUUUUAAUUAAAAAACAUUACUAUUUUGUGUAAAAAUAUAAUCAUGGCAUAUAGGAUUAUAAUUAUGAGUAAUCUUUUAUCUAUUAGGACUAAAACAUGUUCUCUGUAAAUAUGUGCUUAAGCUUAGUUUCUUUUAAGGAUGAUCUUGUAUGCUCGUGUUAAAAAAAAAAAAAAAUUAGCAAGAGAGAUUUAUAUUAUGUUGUGAGGAUUUAAUGUAUUUGGGAUUAAAGUUUACAAUUAGUUUUUUAAAACUUAUACAAAUUAUGAUUAUAAUAAUUUUUAUUUUAUUAACAUGGAUAUCCGGGUCAGCUUGGGCGCACCUCGAUUAAUUCUACGGGUCUUGAAAUUAACGACCAUGUAAGCUUCUAGUGGUCCUGAAAUUUAUAAGACUCGAACUGUUAAUUUUUAAAAAACAAACUUAGAAUUUCUUUACUUAAGUUACACCCUUUAGGGGGUGUAAAAUUUUAUUUUUUACUUCUAGAUGUAGGCAUAGACUAAUAACGUAAAAUCAGUGUGUAAUUUAUUUAUUUAUUUUUUCGAUGUGCUCUAUGUCUAUGGGUGCCAGUUUUAACAAAAUACCCUUACAAUUUUUCCUCCAUGCCAAACAUAUCAUAGAGAGUGAAUACAUUGUAAUUGGGUCGGGUCUCCCAAAAUAUGGGUCGCAAAAGGCACAAAAAUAAUUCAUAAGCCCAAGAACCUCUUUAUAUGGGCUCAUUGUUUGUAACAAUAGGUCAGACUAAGUUACUUAUGGGCUGAGCUUUGGUAAUCCCAAGAACUUCAAAGUCAGCCCACAUGUAAGCUUACAUGGCCAACUUCCAAUUUCCAAACAUGGCCUGGCAUCCGAUUUGUUUUAUAUAUUUUCUAGUGCAAUUUUAAAUGUGAACAAAUAAUAAUUCAAGUUGCAGGAAAUUCAUUGUUAUUAUUAUUAAACUCAGUUUAGUGAGUUAAAUUUAAAAAAUCUUGACUUGAAUCCACGCUAAUUCUGGAUUUUUAAUUAAAUUAAAUGAUAGUUGUAUCAAUCUGAAUCAAUUAAUUUUGUUGGUUCAAGAUAAAAAAAAAACAAAAUAAAAAAAAAUUGACAUAAAAAAAAAAUUUGAUGCACAUAUUUAAAGGUAACCUAAAUAAUUAUUGAAAAUAAUUUAAUUUUUUUUUAAAAAAAUUAAAGCUGAUAAUUUUUUAAAAAUAUUGAGAUGAUUAUUUGUUAGAUUAAUUUUGACUAAUUCAAGUUAACCAAACCUAAAAUAUUAUAACACAACUCGAUUUGUUUUCCGGAUAUAUUUAUAAAGGAAACCAUUACCAUUGAACUCUUCUCAUAUAAUAUGUUAACAUCAAGUUUGAUCAAUUUUUUAGUUGAUAUUACAACAUCAACCAUUUUCUCUCUUUUCAUUUUCAGUUACCCUUCUCUCUCUCCUUCUUAACUUAUGGACUAAAAAUUAAUAAAAUAAUCUUUUUUACUAAAAUAAAAAUUGUGAUGAAUUUAAGGUGAGCCUUGUAUUUUUUUUUUGUGUUUUAAUUUAUACUUUAAUUUCAUAUAAUCAAACCAUAAAAUAAUACGAUUAAAGUUUUUUUUGAACUAUUAAAAAAAUAAUCGGGUGGUUCACUGUUUAUAUAAAACAGCACAAACAAACCUUAAACUUUUUUAGUUUUUGUUAACAUAUCACUGCUAAAAUUAUUUUUUAAAUAAAAAUAGAGUAUUAAUUUAAUUAAUACUAAAUAAAAUUAAUUUAUUAUUUUCAUAAGAAAUAAAAAUAAAAAAUAAAUAAAUUUUAUUUAAAAAAUAACACCAACAGUAUAGUAUAAGUUUUUAAACAAAAAUCGUUCCUAAAUAAAAUUUUUAUAAUUAAUAUAUUUUUCUGUUAUUCGAAAGUAUUCUUAAAAGUAAUUUAUAAUAACACUAUGAAAUUUUUGGAAAAGGAAGGCUUAGAAAUAAUUUAAAAAAUAGGCUGGGUUAUUUUCAAAUGUAAUUUUUUAAUUUCCAUCUCAUGUUUUUAACAGUCCAGUUUUCCUUCAAAAGUAACUGUUCCACUUUAUAUUAAUGGCGCAGUUUGGAUUUUUUUUAAAUCGUCUCUUCUUGUAGAAAAAAGAAGAAGAAUCUAUGAGAUAUAUGGAAUAUGGAAAAUAAUAUUUAAUUAGAAUAAAAAUAUGCCGUGGCUGAAUAAGAAACAGCAAUAUUUUACAAAGUAAUGAGAAAUUAUCCGGCGGGUUCAUUCGGGCCUAAAUCAAUCUGAAAAUAAACAAAAAAAAUAACCUUUACUGUACUUUCGAGUACCUUCUCAAUAUCAAAUAUUAGCCAAGUGGCGCCACCAAACAAAUUUCUCAAAAAAUUAUUAAAAUAAUAUAUUAACGUGGUAUACUACUAUUCAUACAAUCAGUCAAAACGACCCCGUCCUUUACUUGUACAGAGUAAACUGUUAAUAUUAAAUUAAAUUACUAGUCAAAUUCAUCAUGACAAGAGAAUAAACAAAGAAAAAAUAGCAGCUAAUUAUUAACCGGCCGGUGGGAAAUACCAACUGCAAAUUGUUUAAACCUAUAUAGUCAAACAUCAUAUAGCAGACAUUAUCGUUGCAUUGACGUUAUCUAUUGUUAAUUCUAAUUUACAGUUCAUACUUAAGCUUGUUUGUCUAUUGUCCAGUGGCUCUUCCCCAGUUUAUGCAGUUGAUGCAGUAUUUUAGAUUAUAAAAAUAAUUAUUUUUAUUUAAAAAUAUAUUAAAAUAAUAUAUUUUUAAUUUUUUUAAUAUUAACACAUCAAAACAAUUAAAAAACAAAAAAAAAAUUAAUUUAAACAAAAAAAAAUCUAAAUUUUAACCAACCCAGUUGUGAAUAUGGUCACUCUUUUGCUGUCAUUGCAAACAUUUUCUUCUAAUUUCCUUGAAUUAACCUCAAAUUAGCACCUCAUCUAUCCACUAAUUCUCAGCUUAAUUAGCCCCCUCCCCCCCUAAAAAAAAAGAAAAAGAAAAAGAAACCAGCCAUGAUUCCUUAAUUAAUCAACAAAUCAUUUUAGAACAAAGAGUUUUAAUUAUUCAUAAGUACGACGUUCUAUUCAUUGUAAACCUUAAAAAUAUAACUGAUAUAUGAAUUUAUAUAUUAACGAAAAAUGUUUUUCUUGGAUAUGGAGAUAGAAGUACGUAGCAGCAAUGACACGCAAUUUUUUAUUAAGCUUUGGCCGGAAAACUGCAGUACUGUGUGUGGGUGCAAGAGGGGUACGUACGUACUUGUGUAGUGACGACUCCCGUCCGAGCAUUGAACCUUCGAGACCAUCUCCACAUGGUCAUGUAAUAAUUAUAGAAAACUAGGUGAGCUCUUGGAAGGGCUCCAAUGGCUGAAACAGAUCGUGAUUUUCUAGUAAUUUAUUUGUUGAAGAAGCAGGCCAGUUCGUACUGCGGCACGAUGUGAUCAACUGGCCGUCUGCUCAUUUUCUCAGCUUACCUGGACAGUAUCUACUGGACUGGAGUCGCCUAGCCCACUCACUUACUCUCCCAUCCUCUCUUACAACCAUAUUAUUUUAUUGAAGUAAACGAAAUCAGUACCAUUUAUUAUAAUAUGAUCUCUCUUUCCAUUUUAGAGCUAUAAUAUUUGUGCAUCGUUACCAACUUCACAUGAUCAACUUGAUUCAAAACCUAUUAUAUGUCUCUCUUUCAACCCUUUUUCGCUUAAACUCUCCCAGACCACAAUAAAUAGAGGGUUUUAUUGAGAGAAGGAAACAUUCAGUAAGAAGAAAUUAAAACCCAGCCAGGGAGAAUUUGCGUAGCUAGCCAUGGCUAGUGCUAAUCAACAAUACCAUGGAGCCACCUUCAAACCCCACAAACACUUCGCUGCCAACAGCCCUUUCUUCUUCAAGAAGACCAACCUCUACACCUUAGCCCUCCUCCUUGUCCUUUGCACCUUCUCUUAUCUCUUUGGCGUCUGGCGCCACGACGGCGGCGGCAGUGUCCUAUCCGUUAAUAAGAGCGCCGCUACUGCCACCACCAACACCAUUGUUUCAACCCCAUGUGACCCCUCGAAAGCCACCGCUGCUGCAACAAAAGGGGAGAAGCCCCUUGACUUUUCGUCCCACCACAAGGCAGAUGAUUUAGAUUCCACGUUCACAUCAGAAGUCAAAACCUACCCAUCAUGCAACGUGAACUUCAGCGAAUACACACCGUGUGAGGAUGCAAAAAGAUCAUUGAAAUUCAACAGGCACCGAUUGAUAUACAGAGAAAGGCAUUGUCCGGAGAAACAUGAGAUACUAAAGUGUCGUAUACCAGCUCCACACGGGUACAAGAACCCUUUUAAAUGGCCUGCUAGUAGGGAUUUUGCUUGGUACAAUAACGUGCCACACAAGCAUCUAACGGUGGAGAAGGCAGUGCAAAACUGGAUCAGGUUUGUAGGUGAUCGGUUUAGAUUCCCUGGUGGGGGGACUAUGUUUCCUAAUGGUGCUGAUGCUUAUAUUGAUGAUAUUGGAAGAUUGAUCAAUCUCAAAGAUGGGUCUAUUAGGACUGCCAUUGAUACUGGUUGUGGGGUACGUAAUCAAGCUCUUGAUCCUUAAUCUCUACACAUAUUUUACUCCUUUUUUUUAUUUCUUUAAUCUUAGCUUAUUAAAUUAAUAUUUUAUUUUCAUUUUGCUCCCGAUUUUUUUAAUUUUAAAAUGUUUUUACUCUUAAAAAUAGUGAAGAUAAAAACAAAAAGAUGAAGUCUUUUCGUGUUCCUAGAUAAGCACCCAUUAAUUGGAUUUUAAGUCUUGUAACGGUGUUUAGAGAUUUAAGUAUAUGACAUUGGUAUAUGUGACUCCAUGUUUCGAAACUUUACAAGUUUCUGCGGCCAAAUUAACAAGUUGGAUUUGUAAUUAACGAUUUAUUAAAUGUGGGAUAUGGAUCUAACAUUAGGGUUAAUUAAGAGCCUUGGUUUUUGAAUUAUUGUUUUUUUGUUCAUUUGAAGAACAGUCAAUUUUUUUUUGUGCAAGUGAACAAGGGAAUGAGACAAAUAUGGAAUUUUCAAUGAAUUUGUUAGAUUUCAACAUUGCUGAAAUAUAGCUAUCAUUGAAAAUAUGAGUAAUUAAUGAGAUUUGAUUUACUACUAAAUAUAUAAAGCCUUAAGAAGUCGAGAAAUGCUCUUAGGAUAGUCAAAGACAAUCCAGGUAUAAUUUAGACCGUUUGAUUUUUUAAUUAAUUAAUCAUUUAUUUUCCCCAAAAAUCACUAUCUAGAUAAUUUAGACCGUUGAUUUGAUAUCCUCCACCAGUAAAAUUCAAUCAUUCAAAGAUUUAGAUUAUCUCGGGAAAAUGAUUUCGGCAAGAAUCUUUGUAUAAAACUGUCACCACUCUUUGUAUAUUUUCCAGUCCCUGAACUUUGCUAGGACUGGUGCAGGUUGCAAGUUGGGGAGCAUAUCUUCUGUCACGCAAUAUAUUAACAAUGUCAUUUGCACCGAGGGACACUCACGAAGCACAAGUGCAAUUUGCCCUAGAACGAGGAGUUCCUGCCCUGAUCGGAGUUUUGGCCUCAAAAAGGCUGCCAUACCCAUCUAGAGCUUUUGACAUGGCACAUUGCUCUCGUUGCCUCAUUCCGUGGGCCGAAUCCGGUACAUAUGCAUAUACCUCAAAUCAAAUCUGAUUAUCUCAAACAAAAUUAUGGCUUGAUUUAUAUUAUAUAGUGCAGUGGUUGAAUCUAAAAGUAUUUUUUUUCUUCUCGGUAUGGAACAGGAGGACAGUAUUUGAUUGAAGUUGAUCGAGUUCUAAGACCUGGUGGGUAUUGGAUUUUGUCUGGUCCUCCAAUUAAUUGGAAAAAAUAUUGGCAGGGCUGGGAAAGAACAAAAGAUGAUUUGAAUGAUGAACAGAUGAAAAUUGAGGCUGUGGCUAAAAGCUUAUGUUGGAAAAAAUUUGUGGAGAAAGGAGACAUUGCUAUAUGGCAAAAACCACUCAAUCACUUGAAUUGUAAGGUUACCAGGAAGAUUACACAAAAUCUACCUUUCUGUCCUGCUCAGGAUCCUGACAAAGCCUGGUACAUACAUGUGUUUUUCAACAAAAAAAAAAAAAAAUAGAUUUUCUUGUAUGUUCUAUGCAUCUUGAUCAAUUCCAUUCCAUUUUUUAGGUACACAAGCACGGAGACAUGUUUGACUCACUUGCCUGAGGUAUCUAACAAGGAGGACGUCGCCGGCGGAGAAUUGCCGAAAUGGCCUGAGAGAUUGAAUGCUGUGCCACCACGGAUUAGUAGGGGAACUUUGGAAGGAAUCACAGCUGAGACUUUCCAGAAAGAUACAGCUCUAUGGAAUAGGAGAGUAUCUUAUUAUAAAGCUGUAAAUAACCAAUUAGAACAAGCUGGUAGGUACCGCAACAUUUUGGACAUGAACGCUUACUUGGGUGGAUUCGCUGCUGCUCUUACCGAGGACCCUCUUUGGGUUAUGAAUGUGGUUCCUGUCCAGGCUAAGGUUAACACUCUUGGAGUAAUUUAUGAACGAGGAUUAAUUGGAACAUAUCAGGACUGGUAAGCAGAGAUCGAACAUAAACUAAUCUGGUUUGGUUAGAGUUAUAAUAUUUAAAACCAAGUGGUUAACUUGUCUUAUGAUUUCAUUUCUUUUACAGGUGUGAAGCCAUGUCUACGUAUCCAAGAACUUAUGACUUAAUCCAUGCUGAUUCUGUAUUUAGCCUCUAUGACGGCAGGUAAUUAAUUAUUUUUCUAUGUUGAUCAGACAGAUCGUUUGUUGCUUUCCUGUUCCAAAAUAGCAGAAUCAUGGUCAACUACGCUGUUAUUUUAAUAUGAAAUAAUAAUAAUAAUAAAAAUCCAUGUGAGACAAGUACCAAACACAUGGGGACUCUACAGGAUAAGGGUCUAGUUAGGAGGGCAAAAAAAUUGCUCUUUCAUUAUUAAUUUUAUAAUUUAUUUUUCAUAUAUAUUUAUGUAAGAUAGAAUUAAUUGUGGAAUUACUAAAUGGGAAAUGUUUUGAUGAAUUUUAUCCUCCAUGGAUUUUUGUUACAGAUGUGAAAUGGAGGAUAUUUUGCUAGAGAUGGAUAGGAUUCUGAGGCCUGAAGGAAGUGUAAUCUUUAGAGAUGAUGUUGAUGUGUUGGUGAAGAUCAAGAAAAUAAGUGAUGGACUGAACUGGGAUAGUCAAAUUGUUGAUCACGAAGAUGGACCUCAUCAGAGGGAAAAGCUUCUUUUUGCUAUCAAGACCUACUGGACAGCUCCUGCUGAAGGCCGCCGCCAUGAGUCCACCACAUCUUCCUGAGGAGCUUCGCUUCCAUUUGCUUAAUUUGUUUUCUGUUUAGAUUUCUUUUCUCAGCUCUCUCAAAUAUGAUUCUUUCUUCGAAUAGUUAGAGCACAGCCAAUUCAUCAGAUAAACUCUAGAAAUUAUGUUACCGAUCCUCUUGAAUUGGACACAGAAGUGCCUAGCCUCUUGUUUCAGGCUUUGUAUCUACCUUCAUGGAAACGGGCUUGUGCCCAAAUCAAGAACAUGUUUUGUGCUGGGCACUUUUCCUACACAUAAACUCGAUGAUCUAACUACAAUAUUGAACUCAACACAUUUGUUACGAGCUCAAAGCUUCUGUUAGGUGAGUCAUGUAAAAGAUCAACCAUAUCUAGCCAAGCUCAAACUAUAAAUCAAGGCAGAGAUUAGCAUAAUGAGAUAUCAAGCAAGCUAGCUAGCAAUCACACAGAAGCUCUAGAAAUUUAGUCUCUUAGCUCCCCAGCAGACAUGGCAACACUCAAGUCUCUUAGGUCCCCAGCAGCACUGCUUCUCUUGCUCAUUGCACUCGCAGUGCAGACUCACCUGGCUCACUCGCAGAUAUGCACAUCCCAGCUCAACAGCCUGAAUGUCUGUGCACCAUUUGUGGUGGCUGGUGCACCGAACACCAACCCUAGUACUGAUUGUUGUAAUGCACUGGGUGCAGUGCAACAUGACUGCCUCUGCAACACUCUCCAGAUCGCGGCUCGCCUCCCUUCUCAAUGCAAUCUUCCACCUAUCACUUGCGGUAACUAGAGCUAGCAGGUAUGAACUUCGUAAAUCAAAUUUUUAAAAUUAAAUUGCCAGGAAGUAUUAGGUAAUAUUAAUUAAAUCUCAAAAGCAAUUGUGUAAUUUUUUUUAAUAAAGAAUAUAAAAAAAUACAUAAUAGGUUGAACUUUUAAGUUUAGAUAAUUUUUUAAUAUAAAAUUUAUAUUUUAAUAAUUAAACGAUUACAAAUUUAUAUUUCACUACUUUUAUUUUAUUAAUUAAAUUAUAAAUACAUUAAACACAAUAUGCUGUAAACUUAUAUAAAUUUCAAGCUUUAAAAAGACUAUAUAAAAGAGUAAUAUAGUUUUUUAUAAUAAUUUAAGCUAUGAGUUUUCUUGUUUUUUUUUCUUGAAGAAAGUGACGGGUCUUGUCGACGAAAACAAUUUUACUCUCUGUACCAACUGUUGUUAGCAAUUAAAAUAUAUAAUAUGAUCCAACAUUCAUAUCUAAGCAUGAAUUAUCCAUCCCUUAUCAUAGUAGUUUGACUUGGAUUUUUUUUAAUAAUAAUAAUAAUAUAUGUCUAUCGUCUCUUCGCAGGUACAAGACAAGCAUGAAGCUGUUGGCAGGAGACUGAAAAAGAAUAUUAGUGUAAUUGGAACUUCAAUCAUUGAAGCUUAUGAUCCAGCAAUCUUCCUUUUCUCUUUCAAAUGUAUUCCGAUCGAUGAUCUGUAACCAAGCAGAAGCUUCAUGCUGAUUAAUAAAUAAAACACAUUAUUAAUUAGUUGCUAAUUCUAUCGUAAUGGUGACUGGAUAUAU